AGGUUGGGAAAGGAAGUAUGUAUAACCCAGUUUCAACUGGAAGAGAAUAUCUGGUUACCACUUUAGGAUGGUGGUAUUUUAUGUAUUUCUGGAGGUUGAAUUAUAUAGAAAUGCAAAUGAUCGUGUCCUUCUGUAUUUAACCUUUUGAAGAGAUGCAUUACUUCCAUACCUUGUUUCUCUCGAUGCAUCAUGGACCUGGCCAAACUUGAAAAGGGAUUUGCUUUGAUAUCUUCAUGACAUGAAAAGAAGAAUAUAUCCAUUCAGAAUGAUCCAAGAUUCUUUCUUUAUCUCCUUUGUUACUCUUACGAGGUUGUUUUAUGUUAAAAACAAAAAGAAACAUUGUUGAAAAUGAAAUGACUAUAUGAACACUGAUAUUAAAAGGUUAAAUAUCUGCAAUGCAAUUAUGUCUGGUUCAAUAAAUUAACAGAGUUAAAGUUUAUUGGAGAAGUGAAGUUUAUUUGUAGCUGCAUUUUGUCUGCUGAUGCAGAUGGAAAAAAUCUCUCUGUCCGGAGAAGAAAGGGAGCUUUACACAAGAGGAAGAUAUACGGUUAACAGUAGCAGUCAUGCUUUUUGGGCGGAAAUGGAAUCAAAUAGCUAAUUAUGUUCCUGGCCGAAUCCAAUCUCAGUGUAGGGACAGGUACUGUACUGUAUUUUGUUUAAAAUUUUUGGGGACAUAAUUUCCUUAGGGUCUUAGGUUUUUGUUAAAAUUCUUGAAAAUUCUUAUGACAGAUACCUCAAUAGUCUGGAUCCUUCUUUGAAAUGGGGUGGAUGGACUGAGGAAGAGGAUUUAAAAUUAAAAGAUGCAAUUGCCAAGCAUGGAUAUUGCUGGUCUAAGAUUGCUGAAGAACUGCCUCCCCGUACUGAUUCUCAAUGCCGAAAGUAUGAGCUCAAAUUAACUUCAAUGAUGAAAAUCUAAAAUCCUUCAAUCUCUGUAAUCUUACAUGUAUUCUUCUCAUUGAACAGGAGAUGGAAGGUGUUAUGUCCUGAACAAGUUCCUUUGCUCCAAGAAGCAAAAAAGAAGCAAAGGUCUAUUAUUGGUAGUAACUUCGUUGAUCGAGAAUCUGAACGCCCAACCAUUACACUUACCGACUUUCUACCUUUACUUGCGUUAGCUCCAAAAUCUGAUGUUGGUUCUUCAAACAUCAGGAAGAAGCACAAGUCAAGGUACUGCCCUUUAAUCUCCCUUUCAUUUUGCCUUUGUUUCUCAACAUCUUACACGUGUGAUGCCAGGAUUGUUAGGAUUAUUGUUUGAUAGGAUACGACCCCUGUUACAGAGGUUUAUCCGAGAAGAAAUAAGGGAAAUGGGAAUAAGCUAAUUGAUGUAGUUACAAGCAGUUAGGAGCUAGUUACCAUGUCCACGGAGUUAGUUAAGAAUAAGAGAUGUUUGUGUAUAGAUACAUUUUGGGUUUAGAGAAAAGGAGGUAAAAAAUAUAUGUUGGGACUAUACUGGUGCCUCCAAGACCCAGUGUUAUUGUUUCUGUAAGGAACUGUACUUUGUUUGUCUUUAUAAUCCCUGUAAACCUUAUGUUUCUUAAGUUUCUGAUCCAAUUUAUAUAUUUGUUUCAGUAAAUAUGCUGACCAUAUAAUGUUUGAAAUUGAAAAUUGGUUCCGGUAUACCUUUGUAUUUUAAUUCUCGUACCUUGCUUGCAGUAAUGUUUCCAAGAAAAAGAGCUCUAAGAAAGGUGCAAAAAGAACUAAACGUACCAAAGAAGUAGUAGAUACAGAGGUAUAUCACGAUGAUGAGUUCUAC
RNAcentral lists this long non-coding RNA (1750 nucleotides) under Vigna radiata. RNAcentral describes it as "long non-coding RNA (VRAD_LNC000226)". Lineage: Eukaryota; Viridiplantae; Streptophyta; Magnoliopsida; Fabales; Fabaceae. The record is from RNAcentral.